This 510-nucleotide ribosomal RNA is filed under the name uncultured bacterium. RNAcentral's name for it is "partial 16S ribosomal RNA". It matches the Rfam family "Bacterial small subunit ribosomal RNA", at positions 28 to 523 of the family's 1533-position model. The record is from RNAcentral.
GACGAACGCUGGCGGCGUGCCUAAUACAUGCAAGUCGAGCGAAUGACGAGAAGCUUGCUUCUCUGAUUUAGCGGCGGACGGGUGAGUAACACGUGGGCAACCUGCCCUACAGAUUGGGAUAACUCAGGGAAACCUGGGCUAAUACCGGAUAAUCCUUCGAAUCACAUGUUUUGAAGUUGAAAGGCGCUUCGGCGUCACUGUAGGAUGGGCCCGCGGUGCAUUAGCUAGUUGGUGGGGUAACGGCCUACCAAGGAAACGAUGCAUAGCCGACCUGAGAGGGUGAUCGGCCACAUUGGGACUGAGACACGGCCCAAACUCCUAUGGGAGGCAGCAGUAGGGAAUCUUCCACAAUGGACGAAAGUCUGAUGGAGCAACGCCGCGUGAGUGAUGAAGGUUUUCGGAUCGUAAAACUCUGUUGUAAGGGAAGAACAAGUACGUUAGGAAAUGAACGUACCUUGACGGUACCUUAUUAGAAAGCCACGGCUAACUACGUGCCAGCCGCCGCCGUAA